UACGGGGGGGGCAAGCGUUGUUCGGAAUUACUGGGCGUAAAGCGCGUGUAGGCGGCUCUUCAAGUCAGACGUGAAAUCCCUCGGCUUAACCGGGGAACUGCGUCUGAUACUGGAUGGCUUGAGGUUGGGAGAGGGAUGCGGAAUUCCAGGUGUAGCGGUGAAAUGCGUAGAUAUCUGGAGGAACACCGGUGGCGAAGGCGGCAUCCUGGACCAAUUCUGACGCUGAGGAGCGAAAGCCAGGGGAGCAAACGGG
Molecule: ribosomal RNA, 253 nt
Filed under: uncultured bacterium
Lineage: Bacteria
Description: partial 16S ribosomal RNA
Rfam family: Bacterial small subunit ribosomal RNA
Source: RNAcentral